GCAACGUAGCUCAGCUGGAUAGAGCACCUGUCUUCCAGACAGACGGUCGAAGGCCCGAAUCCCUGUGCG
This 69-nucleotide transfer RNA is filed under the name Flavobacterium sp. CLA17. RNAcentral's name for it is "tRNA-Gly". Lineage: Bacteria; Pseudomonadati; Bacteroidota; Flavobacteriia; Flavobacteriales; Flavobacteriaceae. The record is from RNAcentral.